UCAAAGAAAAGAGAGAGAAUGAUCGGCGGCGUCGAUAGGCGGAAGAGAAGAGAAAGGCAAACAAAUCUAGAGCCAGAGAGCCACGGUGGUCCCACGGAAGAAGGAAGAGAAUGAUUUUUGCACUUCAAUCAAUCAAUUUCUCAAACGACAUCAAUUUUUGCGUUUAUCCCGGCUAAUUUUUAUUUUUAAAUUUUUAAUUGCUUUUUUUUUUCUCUCUCUAACUACACAUUUAUAAUUUAGCGAUAUUAACCAAUGAUAUUAAUAGUUCAAAUUAAUCAUUUUUUUUACU
Molecule: long non-coding RNA, 289 nt
Filed under: Trifolium pratense (red clover)
Lineage: Eukaryota; Viridiplantae; Streptophyta; Magnoliopsida; Fabales; Fabaceae
Description: long non-coding RNA (TPRA_LNC007065)
Source: RNAcentral